Molecule: long non-coding RNA, 3521 nt
Filed under: Homo sapiens (human)
Lineage: Eukaryota; Metazoa; Chordata; Mammalia; Primates; Hominidae
Description: HSALNT0352564
Source: RNAcentral
GUGGAAUUCAGAAGCCAUAUAGACAAGAGCUGGGAAAACAGCAAUGGAUUAAUAACAAGAAAUUAAUGGUGAAGUGGUGACGAAAAUUCUACAUUGCUUAGAAAGCAAAUAGUGAAAUGAACAUUUACAUUCUGGCAACCUCAGAAGUACAAUGAACAAAGGACACCAGCCAGGUAGGGCAAAGGCCUGUGCACCCCCUUUUGCUGUUACAUGUUUAUCAGAUGCGUGCUCUGUUUCUGUUAUAUUACAUUACUUUUCUCUUCAAUGUUUACUGAGGAAGAACAAGUAGCUCCUCAGGCAAAUCAACUGUUAACUUUGCAGUUUUUAUUUAAUCUCCCAGGAAUGUAACCCUUAACUUUAAAGAAUGUAGUGACCAUAAAACUUAUAAAGCAUGUUUCUUAAGGAAAUUGUACCUGUUUAUUUAAUCUAUCAGAUAUGAAUGUUAUAGAAAAUUAAAUUUGUCCACUUAAGCUGUAGAUGAACUUUUCACCUUUCUGAUCAGAAAUUCACCAUCUUAUAGUAUAGGUUCUGUUAUUAAUCAGAAUAUUUCAUUUAGACUCUUUCUAUCCAACUUUUUCUUAGAGGCUAUUCAAAAUAAAGGUGCUUCUAACAGUUUCAUAUCGAAAUACGAUGCAAAGCCUUGCUCUUCCAUGGUAUCCUUUGAGUGAGCCAAACUUAUUUAGCCAUUCCCCUAUAGUUAAAUAGCUAGGAUGUUUCCAACAUCUCACCUUUAAAACAAUAGUGCUAUGAAUGUCAUAAAUGUUUGUAUAUGUAAAUAUGUGGGAUAAAUCCCUAUCAGUAGAAUUUCAAAAGGUAUACGCAAUCAGUAUUUUCAUACAUAUUUAAAAUUUUCCAUCCAUACAAAGGUUGCUAACAUAUUUAUUUAAAAUUUUAAAAAUAAUUUUAUAUGCCUCUUGUAACCAGUAAUAGGAUGCCAAGUUUUUUUUUAAGGUAACAUUGCUCCUCUUCCCCCAUUGUCUCUGUCAUCUAUAGUACUCCCUGAGGUAGUUCAUGUUAUUGCAAGGGUGUGUAUCAUCACAAACAUAUUGCUUCCACAUACAUAUAUCAGCAUACAUAUAUAUAUAUAUAUAUGUAUAGCAUAUAUAUAUAUGAGCACAUAUUAAUAUAUGCCCAUGCACAUACAAGCAUGUUUUUGUUAAUUUUUACUGAAAUGGAAUCAUACUACAUACUUAUGAACAAAUUGCUUCUUUCACCUUAUAUCACUUAUAAUUGUUAUUCUACAAAUCAGUACAUAUAAAAAAUACAUAUUUACAUAUGUAAUACUCUAUCUUUCUGUUAUAAUUUUCUGCAUGCACAUGUAUGCAUAUACAUAUAUUCAUAAACAUAAAACUUAAUCUAAACGGGAUUUUUUUUUGGGGGGGUGAUAUGGUUUGGCUGUGUCCCCACCCAAAUCUCAUCUUGAAUUCCCAUGUGUUGUGGGGGGACCCGGUGGGAGGUAAUUGAAUUAUGGGGGCAGGUCUUUCCUGUGCUGUUCUUGGGAUAGUGAAAAAGUCUCACAAGAUCUGAUGGUUUUAAAAAGGUGAGUUUCCCUGCAUAAUCUCUCUUCUCCUGUCUGGUUCCAUGUGAGAUGUGCCUUUUGCCUUCCGCCAUGAUUGUGAGGCCUCCCCAGCCAUGCGGACCCGUAAGUCCAAUAAACCUCUUUCUUUUGCAAAUUGCCCAGUCUCAGGUAUGUCUUUAUCAGCAGCAUAAAAAUGAAACAAUACAGUAAAUUGGUACAAGUAGAGUGGGGCGCUGCUGAAAAGAUACCUGAAAAUGUGGAAGAAACUUUGGAACUGGGCAACAAGCAGAGGUUGGAACAGUUUUGAGGGCUCAGAAGACAGGAAUAUGUGGGAAAGUUUGGAGCUUCCUAGAGACCUGUUGAAUGACUUUGCCCAAAAUGCUGAUAGUGAUAUGGACAAUAAAGUCCAGGCUGAGGUGGUCUUAGAUGGAAACAAGAAACUUGUUGGGAACUGGAGCAAUGGUGACUCUUCUUAUGUUUUAGUAAAGAUACUAGGGGCAUUUUGCCCCUGCCAUAGAUAUAUGUGAAACUUUUAACUUGAGAGAGAUGAUUUAGGGUACCUGGCAGAAGAAAUUUCUAAGCAGCAAAGCAUUCAAGAGGUGACUUGGCUGCUGUUAAAGGUAUUCAGUUUUAUAAGGGAAGCAGAGCACAAAAGUUUGGAAAAUUUGCAGCUUGACAAUGUGCUAGAAAAGAAAAUCCCAUUUUCUAAGGAGAAAUUCAAGCUGGCUGCAGAAAUUUGCAUAAGUAACAAGGAGCUGAAUGUUAAUCCCCAAGACAAUGGGGAAAGUGUCUCCAGGGCAUGUCAGAGUUCUUCAUGGCAACCCCUCCCAUCACAGGCCCAGAGGUUUAGGAGGAAAAAGUGGUUUUGUGGGCUAGGCCCAGGGUCCCUCUGCUGUAUGCAGUCUAGGGACUUCAUACCCUGCAUCCCAGCCAUGAAUGAAAGGAGCCAAAGUACAGCUCUGUCUGUUGCUUCAGAGGGUGCAAGCCCCAAGCCUUGGCAGCUUCCACAUGGCUUUGAGCCUGCGGGUGCACAGAAGUCAAGAAUUGAGGUUUGGGAAACUCCUCCUAGAUAUCAGAAGAUGUAGAAGUUUGCUGUAGGGGUGGGUCCCUCAUGGAGAACCUCUGCUAGGGCAGUGUGAAAGGGAAAUGUGAGAUUGGAGCCCCCAAACAGAGUACCUACUGGGGCACCAUCUAGUGGAGCAGUGAGAAGAGGGCCACUGUUCUUUAGACCCUGGAAUGGUAGAUCCAUGGACGGCUUGCACUGUGCACCUAGAAAAGCCACAGACACUCAAUGCCAGCCUGUGAAAGCAACCUGGAGAGAGGCUGUACCCUGCAAAACCUCAGGGGCAGAGCUGCCCAAGACCAUAGGAACCAACCCCUUGCAUCAGCAUGACCUGGAUGUGAGACAUGGAGGCAAAGGAGAUCAUUUUGGAGCUUUAAGAUUUGACUGUCCCACUGGAUUUCAGACUUUCAUGGGGCCUGUAUCCCCUUUGUUUUGGCCAAUUUCUCCCAUUUGGGAUGGCUGUAUUUACUAAUGCUGUACCUCCAUUAUAUCUAGGAAGUAACUAACUCGCUUUUGAUUUUACAGGCCCAUAGGUGGAAGGGACUUGCCUUGUCUCGGAUGAGACUUUGGACUUUGGACUGUGGACUUUUGAGUUAACACUGAAAUGAAUUAAUGCUGAAAUGAAUUAAGACUUUGGGAGACGGUUGAGAAGCCAUGACUCAUUUUAAAAUGUGAGACAUGCCUUUCACCUUCUGCCAUGAUUGUGAGGCCUCUCCAGCCAUGUGGAACUGUGAACACACAGUGUUCAUCCCCUCAGGAGGACACAGCUUUUGAGGUACCAUCUUGGAAGCAGAGACCAGCCCUCACUAGACACAAACUUCCUGGCACGUUGAUUUUGGACUUCAUAGCCUCUAGAACUGUGAGAAAUAAAUUUUUAUUAUUUAUAAAUUACCCUGUAUUGGAUAUUUUGUUAUAGCAGCACAAAAGGUCUAAGACAAU